AGUGAACGCUGGCGGUAGGCCUAACACAUGCAAGUCGAACGGCAGCACAGUAAGAGCUUGCUCUUACGGGUGGCGAGUGGCGGACGGGUGAGGAAUACAUCGGAAUCUACUUUUUCGUGGGGGAUAACGUAGGGAAACUUACGCUAAUACCGCAUACGACCUACGGGUGAAAGCAGGGGAUCUUCGGACCCUGCGCGAUUGAAUGAGCCGAUGUCGGAUUAGCUAGUUGGCGGGGUAAAGGCCCACCAAGGCGACGAUCCGUAGCUGGUCUGAGAGGAUGAUCAGCCACACUGGAACUGAGACACGGUCCAGACUCCUACGGGAGGCAGCAGUGGGGAAUAUUGGACAAUGGGCGCAAGCCUGAACCAGCCAUACCGCGUGGGUGAAGAAGGCCUUCGGGUUGUAAAGCCCUUUUGUUGGGAAAGAAAAGCAGCAGGUUAAUACCCCGCUGUUCUGACGGUACCCAAAGAAUAAGCACCGGCUAACUUCGUG
Molecule: ribosomal RNA, 492 nt
Filed under: uncultured bacterium
Lineage: Bacteria
Description: partial 16S ribosomal RNA
Rfam family: Bacterial small subunit ribosomal RNA
Source: RNAcentral